RNAcentral lists this ribosomal RNA (579 nucleotides) under uncultured Enterobacteriaceae bacterium. RNAcentral's name for it is "bacterial SSU rRNA". It matches the Rfam family "Bacterial small subunit ribosomal RNA", at positions 102 to 677 of the family's 1533-position model. Lineage: Bacteria; Pseudomonadati; Pseudomonadota; Gammaproteobacteria; Enterobacterales; Enterobacteriaceae. The record is from RNAcentral.
ACGGGUGAGUAAUGUCUGGGGAUCUGCCCGAUGGAGGGGGAUAACUACUGGAAACGGUAGCUAAUACCGCAUAACGUCGCAAGACCAAAGUGGGGGACCUUCGGGCCUCACACCAUCGGAUGAACCCAGAUGGGAUUAGCUAGUAGGUGGGGUAACGGCUCACCUAGGCGACGAUCCCUAGCUGGUCUGAGAGGAUGACCAGCCACACUGGAACUGAGACACGGUCCAGACUCCUACGGGAGGCAGCAGUGGGGAAUAUUGCACAAUGGGCGCAAGCCUGAUGCAGCCAUGCCGCGUGUAUGAAGAAGGCCUUCGGGUUGUAAAGUACUUUCAGCGGGGAGGAAGGGGUGAGGGUUAAUAACCUUCGUCAUUGACGUUACCCGCAGAAGAAGCACCGGCUAACUCCGUGCCAGCAGCCGCAGUAAUACGGAGGGUGCAAGCGUUAAUCGGAAUUACUGGGCGUAAAGCGCACGCAGGCGGUUUGUUAAGUCAGAUGUGAAAUCCCCGGGCUCAACCUGGGAACUGCAUUUGAAACUGGCAAGCUUGAGUCUCGUAGAGGGGGGUAGAAUUCCAGGUGUA